Molecule: ribosomal RNA, 678 nt
Filed under: Salmonella enterica subsp. enterica serovar Derby
Lineage: Bacteria; Pseudomonadati; Pseudomonadota; Gammaproteobacteria; Enterobacterales; Enterobacteriaceae
Description: bacterial SSU rRNA
Rfam family: Bacterial small subunit ribosomal RNA
Source: RNAcentral
UAGACCGCCUGGGGAGUACGGCCGCAAGGUUAAAACUCAAAUGAAUUGACGGGGGCCCGCACAAGCGGUGGAGCAUGUGGUUUAAUUCGAUGCAACGCGAAGAACCUUACCUGGUCUUGACAUCCACGGAAGUUUUCAGAGAUGAGAAUGUGCCUUCGGGAACUGUGAGACAGGUGCUGCAUGGCUGUCGUCAGCUCGUGUUGUGAAAUGUUGGGUUAAGUCCCGCAACGAGCGCAACCCUUAUCCUUUGUUGCCAGCGAUUAGGUCGGGAACUCAAAGGAGACUGCCAGUGAUAAACUGGAGGAAGGUGGGGAUGACGUCAAGUCAUCAUGGCCCUUACGACCAGGGCUACACACGUGCUACAAUGGCGCAUACAAAGAGAAGCGACCUCGCGAGAGCAAGCGGACCUCAUAAAGUGCGUCGUAGUCCGGAUUGGAGUCUGCAACUCGACUCCAUGAAGUCGGAAUCGCUAGUAAUCGUGGAUCAGAAUGCCACGGUGAAUACGUUCCCGGGCCUUGUACACACCGCCCGUCACACCAUGGGAGUGGGUUGCAAAAGAAGUAGGUAGCUUAACCUUCGGGAGGGCGCUUACCACUUUGUGAUUCAUGACUGGGGUGAAGUCGUAACAAGGUAACCGUAGGGGAACCUGCGGUUGGAUCACCUCCUUACCUUAAAGAA